This 282-nucleotide unclassified non-coding RNA is filed under the name uncultured Cortinarius. RNAcentral describes it as "sequence contains ITS2". The stretch from base 1 to 52 matches the Rfam family "5.8S ribosomal RNA", at positions 103 to 154 of the family's 154-position model. Lineage: Eukaryota; Fungi; Basidiomycota; Agaricomycetes; Agaricales; Cortinariaceae. The record is from RNAcentral.
AACGCACCUUGCGCUCCUUGGUAUUCCGAGGAGCAUGCCUGUUUGAGUGUCAUUAAUAUAUAUCAACCUUCUCAUUUCUGAGUGGUUUGGAUGUGGGGGGUUUGCUGGCCUCUUAAAAUGAGUUCAGCUCCCCUGAAAUGCAUUAGCAGAACAACCCUGUUCAUUGGCGUGAUAACUAUCUACGCUAUUGAUUGUGAGGGAUGGUUCAGCUUUCUAACAGUCCUUGGACAAUAUUAUCAUUUAUGUGACCUCAAAUCAGGUAGGACUACCCGCUGAACUUAA